GAAAAUUCCCCUCCUUCUGCAGUUCAUGGUGUUCUUCUAAACUAUUUAUAAAUAGGUCUACUGUAGCCAGUGUUUGCAUUUGGACUGCUUCACUGUUCUCGUUUUCAAGGCUUCUCUUAGAUCUGACAGUAAAGGUCAUGUUGACUCCCCUCAUCUGAAAUGAAGAGGGGAAGAAAAUUAACCCUGUAGUCAGGUGGCUCAAAGGCAGUAAUUCCCAUCAACGUGAGCAAGUUCUCCGUCGUGCGUGGCUGGGGCAGAGCGCCGGACCCACUCUCCCUUUUGCUCCAUUUUCGUUUCCCUGCCCUCUCCAUUAGCUGCUGACAGUUUUAGCUUCCUACGUCCAUUUAAAGAGAUUCCCCCCGCACAUCAUCUGGGAUUCAUGAACUGCAGAGAUCUGGCAGGACUCAGAUACCUCUUUUCUUGGAGCAGCUCAGCAGAAGAACAGAAAGAUGUCAUUUCUGGCAUGGAUCACCCAGCGGCACGUCCCUGGAAGAUGGACUGGUGCUCAGGUGCUGAGGUUUCAGGUCAGACAGAACCCAUGGGGAUGCUUCUUCAUGCACCAGCCUGGCUCCAUCCAGCUCGCCAGCACCAAAAGGAGGCAUCCGACCCCCCCACGGCACAGGUACAUGCGGCCACAUCACCCCAUGCCAGCUCCUGAGCUCCUUGACCCCAACCCCAGAGCUAAAUUUGCUGAUUAUCUGGUAGAAAACUGAGCAAGGAAGUAAAGCUUUGAUAGAUUUUUUUUUUGCACCAGCUCUUGCCAAUGCCCAACCUGGUGCGAGGGGGUGGUGAGGCUGGGACCAGUGGGAUGUGGGGUGCUUGUGAAAUCCCUUACCCUGGGGGCACUCUGAUAAAACAGCAGACCAUUUCCCAACACCCCCCUGAUGGGAGGGCGAGGAAAUGAGUUAGGGCUGCAUCCCUCACCCAGGACACCGCAGGAUGAGCUCCACGUAAGCCUCUUCCCCUCCCCUCUGACUCAGCUCCCGUGCUAUGCUCGGCUUUUCACUCUUUCCUCAGGCAACUCCGCUGCUUGUCCUGCUCCUGCUGACUCUUUCGCUGACUGGCAGCAGCCUGGUGUUGCUCAACGCUCCCAGUACGUGUCUGUGCCCACCUGAGUGCAGGAUACGGCCUCCCCCUGCCCAUCACAACGGGGGCCAUCGCCCACUCUCCAUCACACCACAUCCCUCCACAUGUGAAGCCUAAAAGUUUUGGGGCACGUGUAGAAAUGGUGAGAAGGUGAUGGAACACCGUCAGGGGUUCGAUAACACGUGAUAUGCUCCCAGCAGACCAGCACGACAGCUCAGGGAGCAGAUACUGCAACGUGUUAAGUCAUUUAUUUGAUGAUGAGGCAGAGAAAGCCAAGAGGACUAGCCUAGAGGAAAGCCUCAUUGCUAUGUGGUGAUGUUUCAAAAUUCCCCUUUUUGUUCUUCCAGCAGCCCAAGAACCUUGUUGGCUUUUCAGACGUGAUCAGGACACUGCUCAGCAUGGGACGGGUGGGGAUGCCACACUUCCAUGACGAGCCAGGAGAGGCCAUGCUAGCCAGGGUUUGCACAGUAGCCCCAGCAGGCUUUGCAGAUGGAAGCUGUUUUAGGAUAAUUUGGUGUCUUUCUAUUCUGCAGAUUUCUUAACGUGUGUGUGAGCAAGCAAUUGGCUGCUGGGACAGGAAGAUGUGACCGUGCAGGCCCUUUGCAGCACUGAAAGCAAACCUGGUGCAGGUUUGUUCACAAGCUGGUGAGUGCUUGAAGAUCCACCCAUGCUUGGUUAUCCUGAAGAGCUGCUCCUGGCAGCAGGUGACACCUACCAGGAGAGACACUUCCCCAUUCCUCCGUACCCGUGGCAGACAUCUCUGCUCCCUAGAGGCUGUGACCAUCACGCAGCCGCAUAAAUAAAGGUGGAUGCAGCGAGACCCAGCACCAUCAGAGCUGACCGCACACGAGGCAACUCACGUCUGGAAGCAGUCAGGCUCUGCUGAGCCCCAGAAGGCACAUGGGUGAGUUACCUUAUCGUAAGCAGCCUAGACUUAAAUUAAACAUGGUUUAUAAGCAGAGGCAUAACGGAGGCAUAUUGGGAGGUUAUGUGCCAUUAUAGGGUGCCCUUGGGAUAUGCUCAUGUGGGUCUCCACCAAUGUGGAGAUCCUGUACUGUGCUCAGUUGUGGGGCUGCUGAGGAGCCCUCCUUGUCCAGCAGCUACAGACGGAUGGCUUUGUGGGUGAUGAUUUGCUUACAUGGGCUUCUGCAUUCAUUGUAUAGAAUAAAUAAUUUACCUCUAAUGUUUGGGAUUUGUAGGGCUUCAGCAGUUAAUUUAGAAGAGCCAGGAGGUGCUGUUUUGUCUAGAAGUGAAUUCUGAACUUAUUAUCUUAAAGUAAAUUCCCUUUCUGCAGGAAGUGCUGGUGUUGCUGCUCUUUGUCCCAGAACUGAGUGAAGUAAAAAAAAAAAAAAAAAAAAAAAAACCAAAAAACUGACAUUUUCUGUGGAAGAGCAAGUCAAGCUCUCAACCAUCUCUUUUCUUUUGCCUUGCUAUAGGCUUUAAGUUUCAUAGCAUCCUUCCCCAUCAAGGGGAAAAAAUCUACACAGGUUUGACAAAGGGCAGAAAACAAUGUUGAGUGGCACUUAGCUCUAAAGGAUGUCUUAAUUUUUUAUGGAAAUUUUCCAAAUUGUAAAACAAGACACCAACCGCCUUAGAUAAGGAAAUAAUCUCUCUUUUCCCACGGGGUGCUGAAAACUGCCCGGCGUAAAAA
Molecule: long non-coding RNA, 2737 nt
Filed under: Cairina moschata (Muscovy duck)
Lineage: Eukaryota; Metazoa; Chordata; Aves; Anseriformes; Anatidae
Description: domestica (muscovy Duck (domestic type)) lncRNA (ENSCMMG00000014870.1)
Source: RNAcentral